This 69-nucleotide transfer RNA is filed under the name Marmota marmota marmota (Alpine marmot). It matches the Rfam family "tRNA". Rfam says of the family: Transfer RNA (tRNA) molecules are approximately 80 nucleotides in length. Their secondary structure includes four short double-helical elements and three loops (D, anti-codon, and T loops). RNAcentral also lists the same sequence under 1 other name. Lineage: Eukaryota; Metazoa; Chordata; Mammalia; Rodentia; Sciuridae. The record is from Rfam by way of RNAcentral.
GGGGCUGGGGCUCAGCGGUAGAGCACUCACCUAGCACGUGCGAGACCCCAGGUUCGAUCCUCAGCACCA